GGCAAAUGGCUGCAGUACAGCAGCAGCAGCAUGCUCCUUCUGUCCUCCCACCAGGUGCCAGAGAUUCUGGAGUUCAUCUGGAGAAACCUGGGAAGCAACAGCACAUCCCUACAGCCGACCCUCUACACAGUGCUGGAUGUGCUGACCAACCAGUUUCCCAGGGAUGUGCUGAUAAGCGUGCUGACUGACCUUCCACACAGUGACAGCACCACGAUGGACAUCUGGAAGAGAAUGCUUUCCCUGGCAGAAAAUUCAGAGGUCAUCUUGGAUGUACUGUGCAGCGUUCUCCAGGACCAAGAGCUGUGUGGGAUUUUUAACGUCACCCCAGCGGAGUUGGGCCUCCUUCGGCUGACUGUGAGUUAGCAGACAAGGCACCGUGCUG
Molecule: long non-coding RNA, 382 nt
Filed under: Gallus gallus (chicken)
Lineage: Eukaryota; Metazoa; Chordata; Aves; Galliformes; Phasianidae
Description: long non-coding RNA NONGGAT012064
Source: RNAcentral